UGCGCAGGUGGUUAAAUAAGUCAGUGGUGAAAGUCUGCCGCUUAACGGUAGGAUUGCCAUUGAUACUGUUUAACUUGAGUUUGGAUGAGGUAGGCGGAAUGAGUAGUGUAGCGGUGAAAUGCAUAGAUAUUACUCAGAACACCGAUUGCGAAGGCAGCUUACUAAUCCACAACUGACACUGAGGCACGAAAGCGUGGGGAUCAAACA
Molecule: ribosomal RNA, 207 nt
Filed under: uncultured Bacteroidota bacterium
Lineage: Bacteria; Pseudomonadati; Bacteroidota
Description: uncultured Bacteroidetes bacterium partial 16S ribosomal RNA
Rfam family: Bacterial small subunit ribosomal RNA
Source: RNAcentral